UGUUCUUCGCAGAACUUCGUGUUUGGUACACCCUCAUGGAACUUUACCUUUUAAUUAUGUUUUUAAGUAGAAGUCUGUCUUGUAUUGAUGUCAGGUGGCAGAGACGGAGCCAGAGAGUUUAACAAAUAGUGAAGAAAGGAAAAUAUAUAUUUGGUUGUCAAUGGGCAACCUGUGGCCUGACGAGGACUCCCAAACGAAAAGUUACGAGAAAGAAUUACAAGCCCUCCCACUGCG
Octopus sinensis (East Asian common octopus) is the source of this 234-nucleotide long non-coding RNA. RefSeq lists it as uncharacterized. The transcript is spliced from 4 exons. Lineage: Eukaryota; Metazoa; Mollusca; Cephalopoda; Octopoda; Octopodidae. The record is from RefSeq and is a predicted model, not a curated record.